AUUGAACGCUGGCGGCAGGCCUAACACAUGCAAGUCGAGCGGAUGAAGGGAGCUUGCUCCUGGAUUCAGCGGCGGACGGGUGAGUAAUGCCUAGGAAUCUGCCUGGUAGUGGGGGAUAACGUCCGGAAACGGGCGCUAAUACCGCAUACGUCCUGAGGGAGAAAGUGGGGGAUCUUCGGACCUCACGCUAUCAGAUGAGCCUAGGUCGGAUUAGCUAGUUGGUGGGGUAAAGGCCUACCAAGGCGACGAUCCGUAACUGGUCUGAGAGGAUGAUCAGUCACACUGGAACUGAGACACGGUCCAGACUCCUGCGGGAGGCAGCAGUGGGGAAUAUUGGACAAUGGGCGAAAGCCUGAUCCAGCCAUGCCGCGUGUGUGAAGAAGGUCUUCGGAUUGUAAAGCACUUUAAGUUGGGAGGAGGGGCAGUAAGUUAAUACCUUGCUGUUUUGACGUUACCGACAGAAUAAGCACCGGCUAACUUCGUG
This 484-nucleotide ribosomal RNA is filed under the name uncultured bacterium. RNAcentral's name for it is "partial 16S ribosomal RNA". It matches the Rfam family "Bacterial small subunit ribosomal RNA", at positions 30 to 507 of the family's 1533-position model. The record is from RNAcentral.